RNAcentral lists this ribosomal RNA (253 nucleotides) under uncultured bacterium. RNAcentral describes it as "partial 16S ribosomal RNA". It matches the Rfam family "Bacterial small subunit ribosomal RNA", at positions 524 to 776 of the family's 1533-position model. The record is from RNAcentral.
UACGGAGGGAGCAAGCGUUAUCCGGAAUCACUGGGUUUAAAGGGUGCGUAGGCGGCUUAAUAAGUCAGAGGUGAAAGGCUGUGGCUCAACCAUGGGAUUGCCUUUGAUACUGUUAGGCUUGAAUCAGGCUGAGGUUGGCAGAAUGUGGCAUGUAGCGGUGAAAUGCAUAGAUAUGCCAUAGAAUACCGAUUGCGAAGGCAGAUGACUGGCCAUUGAUUGACGCUGAGGCACGAAAGCGUGGGGAGCGAACAGG